UACGUAGGGGGCAAGCGUUGUCCGGAAUCAUUGGGCGUAAAGCGCGCGUAGGCGGCCCGGUAAGUCCGUUGUGAAAGUCCAGGGCUCAACCCUGGAAAGCCGGUGGAUACUGUCGGGCUAGGGUCCGGAAGAGGCGAGUGGAAUUCCUGGUGUAGCGGUGGAAUGCGCAGAUAUCAGGAGGAACACCGAUGGCGAAGGCAGCUCGCUGGGACGGUACUGACGCUGAGGCGCGAAAGCGUGGGGAGCGAACAGG
RNAcentral lists this ribosomal RNA (253 nucleotides) under uncultured bacterium. RNAcentral's name for it is "partial 16S ribosomal RNA". It matches the Rfam family "Bacterial small subunit ribosomal RNA", at positions 524 to 776 of the family's 1533-position model. The record is from RNAcentral.